Molecule: long non-coding RNA, 2565 nt
Organism: Equus caballus (horse)
Lineage: Eukaryota; Metazoa; Chordata; Mammalia; Perissodactyla; Equidae
Source: Ensembl
GUUGGGUUAGUGCCCGGGAAUGCAUCUUUAGACACGGACCCUUGGAGAGCACCUCUCCGCGGAGGCCUCGGGGCACAGGGCAGUUAGAAAGGGACCGAGAUGAAGGAGACGGAGCCCUGCUUCCGGGGCCUUGCGGGGGAGAGAGAAGACACACCGCCUAUCCGCAAGUGGAAAUAUAAAAGGAGAAAAGACCUGGGGGAGCAUUUUGCUGGGCUACGCGUGCAAGUAGCCGUAACACGAGGUUGAAUUUGGAAGGUGCCCCAAGGAAGUUUCCUUAGCAACUUUUUAUAAUGGCAGAGGCAGACAGGUAUUGCCGUGCUACGUACGAGUCAGAGGACAGACGGGGGGAGGCCCGUUUUAGAGCUGAUGCCAGAGGAAGACAGUGUGUUUACCGGCAACGGUGAGAACUUGGCCAGUUCCUGUGGAUCAGGAAGUCAGAAGUGACUUAGCUGUGUAGACUCUGGCCUGGAUUCUUUCCUGAAGUUGCAAUCAAGAUGCCAGCCAGGUCUGAAAUCAUCUGAAGGCUUGUCUGGAGCUGGGGAGUCCCCUUCCAAGAUGGCUCGCUCGCAUGGCUGUUGGCGGGAGCCUCAGCUCUUCGCCAUGAGGACCACUCUAUGGGGCUGCUUGAGCAUCCUCACACCAUGGAGAUGGGCUUCCCCCAGAGCAAGGGAGAGCAAGGUGGAAGCCACAUUGUGUUUUAUACCUAGCUCCAGAAGUCAUGCACCAUGGUUUCCUGAAUAGCUUGUUGUUUACACGAGUCAGCCCUGCUGGGAGGGGACCACACAAGGAAGUGAAUACGAGGAGCUGAAAAUCAUGGGGCCAUGUUGGAGGUGGGCUAUCACACUGGUAAUCAUUGUUGACUUGUUUACUAUUAUUUGGAAGAUUCUGGAUCUCAAAUCAAAUCCAGUGUUCAAAAGUGGGCUGCGAACACAAAAAAGUUGGGAGCUGCUCAUCCAAUGGCUUCAUUUCAUCUGUAUCUGCCUGUGGGGUCCCCUGGGGGGCCAUGACUCCAGCAGUGUCCCAAGAUGACCCCAUCAGAAAUAAACCUCUACCAUCCCAUGACACUGAAAGCCUGUUAUCUGUGCCAGGUGCCAGCAAAGCACAGAUGCAUAGGAAGAAGCAGGAACUUUGCAGCCAGACGGAACUGUGUUCAAAUCCUGACUCCCCUCUUGAUGACCUGGGGACUCUGGACGAUUGGCUUAACCUCUCUGAGCCUGAGUGUGGUCGGGUGUAAAAUGGAUUGAGAUCAACUUCACAGGGUCGUUAGGGAGAUGAAAUACAGGAUGACAGAGCAAUGAUAAUAGGAGUCAGGUGAUCUGCCAAUGUUGACCCCUAGAUUUAUUAUUCAUACUGAUAACAAUAAAAUAAUAAUAAUAGCUCACAUUUAUUGACCUCCUAUUAUUGUCAGUCUCUGAAGCUUAAAGCAGUUAAGAACUUUGUCCAAAACACACUGCUGGGAGAGCUGAGACCCACACUCAGUUCUGUCUCUCUCCAAAGCGAAACUGUGUGACAACAAGCUCUUUUCUUAAUAACGGUCUGCAAUGAUCUACACAUUAUGUGGUUCUACCGCCUUCCUUUUCCUCUGUCUCUUUUUUGGCCACUUAGUAGUAUAAGGACGUACCAUAAUUGGUCAAUGAUUUCCCCUGUUGUUGGAUACUCAGUUUCUGCUUUCCACUAUUAACAGUGGGGCGUCAGCGAGCAUCUUUGCUGUGCAGGUGUUUGCCCAGGGCUCACCACAUGCCAGGGGCUGCGCUAAGCACUUGAUGUGUGUCCCACAUUUAAUCCUCCACCAGCCUGAGGACACCCAGCUAGGAAAUGACACUUUCAGGCUCUUACUUGUCUAAUAGAGUGCCUUUUAAGGGUUGAGAGUCCCUUACCUUCUCCAUCCUGAAGAUCUUCCUUCCAAUAGGGCCCCCAAGGAGUGCCUGUGUUUUCCCUGCAGCAGGUGCAUGAGAGACCAGAGGGCUUGGAGUCUGCAAACCCGGGUUUAACAAAAGGACAGCUCUUGACGGGUUACCACCAGGCUCACAGCAGCCAGGGCUCACCAGAUGUGGCCCUGCAUCAGUCAGGAAAGGCCAGGUUAUGCUGUGGUAACAAACGAUCCCAAGAGAGUGGCUUAAAACAUCCAUUGUGGGAAUGUGAUGGGCUCCGUUUUACGUUGCCCUUACUCUGGGCCCCAACUUGAUAGAGCAGCCAUGGGCGUGAUCACCGCCAGUCACCAUUCCAGGAGGCCAGAGGGCAUGUAGGCAAUUGCGCGCUGGAUCCUAAAGCUUUGCCUGGAAGGGACUCGUUCCUUCCUCUCACUUUGCUUUUUUGAUAAAGCAAGUCAUAUAGGCAUGCUUAACCCCGAAAGGACAUGUGCCCCCAGUGGAGAGAACUGUAAUAUUUGGUGAGCGGCACUGAUGACCACCACAGGCUGUGUCCUCUGCUGACCAUUGAGAAAGAGGCUGACAAUCCUAACCACAUUUUAGAACAAUUGAGUCCAGGCCAGAAGUGCCCUUAGCAUUCUUUCCCCAGGAAAGACCCCUGCCUCUAAACCCCGUCGUGCCCACACCAUGAAGCCCA